GAUGAACGCUAGCGACAGGCUUAACACAUGCAAGUCGAGGGGCAGCACGGGAGUAGCAAUACAACUGGUGGCGACCGGCGCACGGGUGAGUAACGCGUAUGCAACCUACCUAUCAGAGGGGAAUAACCCGGCGAAAGUCGGACUAAUACCGCAUAAAACAGGGGCACCGCAUGGUGAUAUUUGUUAAAGAAAUUCGCUGAUAGAUGGGCAUGCGUUCCAUUAGGUAGUUGGUGAGGUAACGGCUCACCAAGCCGACGAUGGAUAGGGGAACUGAGAGGUUGGUCCCCCACACUGGUACUGAGACACGGACCAGACUCCUACGGGAGGCAGCAGUGAGGAAUAUUGGUCAAUGGGCGGGAGCCUGAACCAGCCAAGUCGCGUGAAGGAAGAAGGAUCUAUGGUUCGUAAACUUCUUUUGCAGGGGAAUAAAGUGCAGGACGUGUCCUGUUUUGUAUGUACCCUGAGAAUAAGGAUCGGCUAACUCCGUGCCAGCCGCCGCGGUAA
This 504-nucleotide ribosomal RNA is filed under the name uncultured bacterium. RNAcentral describes it as "partial 16S ribosomal RNA". It matches the Rfam family "Bacterial small subunit ribosomal RNA", at positions 28 to 523 of the family's 1533-position model. The record is from RNAcentral.